RNAcentral lists this long non-coding RNA (1045 nucleotides) under Marmota monax (woodchuck). Lineage: Eukaryota; Metazoa; Chordata; Mammalia; Rodentia; Sciuridae. The record is from RNAcentral.
UAUAUCUCAUUGAUUCUAGAGAGAAGAGAAAUAUUCAGGUCUAUUUGGUGUCUGAGCAGUUGUUGGGAAGAGCAGAAGAAAAGAAAAAGAUCUCAAUGUGUGCAAGAUAAGCUGCUUUUUUGCUUGGGUCAACUCCAAUGAUCAAGACCUCUAAGCUCUUUACUAAAGAAGCAAUUAACUUCAUCAAUAAAUAUUUAUUUGUGCUGUUGGCAGUUUGGCAGAGCUAAUUCACCCUUGGGAUAAUUCAGCAUCCAUGUUCCUGAUUCUUGCCAUUAUGUCCCUAAAUUGGCCAACUGCCAUCGCCACUGUUUCGAAAUUACUUAGAACGGGAACUUAAGGCAAUUGCCACACUGUCCUUUUAUUCUGUCGCACGAAAUAAUUUUCCAAAUUAAUCAUAUCGCUAAGUCUCUCUCCAGAGCUAAUGGUCUGAAAUCUGAAACCAGGGAACUGCUGGUGUGGUGAGAAAUAGUUUUCCUCACUUAAUUUGUCAGACUUCCAACUGCUCUUCUAUUCUCUAAGCAAAGUUGCAUCCAAAUGUCUGUUUCAGAAUACCAUUAUCAUUGAUUGAAGAUGUUGUUUCCCUGAGCCAGUCGACUAAGGAAGGCAUUCUAGAAGGCUCUGCCCUCUGUCUUAAUCCUUUUGGGCUUCUAAAACAAAACAAAGACUAGGCGGCUUACAAACAACAGAAAUUUAUUUCUCACAGGGUCUGGAGGCUGGGAAGUUCAAGAUGAAGGCACCAACUGAUCCAGUGCUCGGUUCAGAGCCUCUUGUUGUCUUCUCAUGGUGAGAGGGUCUCUUGACUCCCCCAUGAAGCCACAAAUUUCGUGCUUGGGGGCCCCACCCUUAGGACCUAGUACUUCCCCAAGCCCCACCUCUCAGGCCAUCACAGUGGGUAUUAGACUUCAGCAAGUGAGUGUUACAGGGACACAACAUGCAAUCCAUGGCACCCUCCUCGUUUUUAAAUACGCACUUUUUAAACGGGCAAAAAAGUUGGGUCUCGCCUCUAUAAUUUCAUCUGGACUAAAUGUUUACUUAAUGUUGUUAC